ACUUCUCGCGGUAUCUGACUCCUAGGCUCCGCCCUCUGCACGCCGCUCACGGUAUCUGACGCUCAGGCUCCGCCCCCUGCAUGUCUUUGUUGGCAAACAGUUUCGGGGGUCGUCCGAGCCUGCCGAGAGCAUCCAGGCUGGACUUGAACUCCUUCCUGGGCUGAAGUGAUCCUCCUGCCUCAGCGUCCUGAAUAGGAAGUGGAGCCAGAAUCCACAGAUGUCAUUAUCCAUCUGCACACUUUGUUUACUACCCAGAAGGCAAGAAUAUUGCAUUUUAAAAGUGCCCGGACUUUUGUUCUUUCUUAUCACAAAUGACUUGGGAAGCUCCGACCACUCAUGUUUACCCCGAGUGAAAGUCCCAUUCAAAGCCUUGCUUCCUGGAGAGCUUUGAGAUUCUGGUACAAAAGGCAUUUUAUAAGCACAAAGUGGAAAAGCAUCAUUCAUAUUCAUUUGCUGCUGCGGCAUUUCUCCCUGGAAUCUUCCUCUUGUCUGUCAACAUUGGGCAAAAGGACUGGCCUCAUCUACAUUACAGAUAUCCUUGUGAUGGUCUGGAGGUAGGAAAAGGACACCCAGCACAAGAGUGAGAAGGGAAACUCAAGCUCUCCUGUUGGAGAGUCUCAGGCUUCUUUAUCCGUAAAACUGAUUGGACAUUAUUGGUGUGGGUUUAUGAUCUGUUUUGGAAAAACCUGAGUAUGAAGUCAAUACCGUGCUUUGUGCG
This 718-nucleotide long non-coding RNA is filed under the name Pan troglodytes (chimpanzee). RNAcentral's name for it is "lincRNA". Lineage: Eukaryota; Metazoa; Chordata; Mammalia; Primates; Hominidae. The record is from RNAcentral.